RNAcentral lists this unclassified non-coding RNA (544 nucleotides) under Hevea brasiliensis (rubber tree). Lineage: Eukaryota; Viridiplantae; Streptophyta; Magnoliopsida; Malpighiales; Euphorbiaceae. The record is from RNAcentral.
CUUAAUAAUGCCCAAUUAAUUCCAUUAAAAAAUUGUUGAUGCUUAAUUGAAGCUGCUCCCAUUGUAGAACCCAACCGUCUUACAGGGUCCUUCACCAGAAGUUGUGUGAUCAGAUCCUUAGCCGUCGCCGGCACGAUGGGCUCCUUAGGAAAUUCUAAGGCUCGAGCCACUAUGUUGGCUAGGGUUAACUCGUGAUCAACCCCUUUAAAUGGAGUCACACCAUACAACAUUUCAAAUAUGAAUAUGCCCAAGGUCCACCAAUCCACCGCAUUGCCAUGCCCUUCGCCGGAGAUGAUUUCCGGCGCCAAGUACUCAUGGGUCCCAACGAAUGACAUUGACCGAACGUCUAUUGGCUCUGCCACAAUCUCUAGGGAUCCACGUUGAUUGGAUUUCUUUCUGCGUUUACGUUUCGGAUGAAAGCAUGGGACAGCUGGCACGAUGCAAUUGGGUAGAAUGCAUGAUGACAUGUCGGAUUGAGGUGGAUCAGGAGGGUACUCAUUUAUUGAAUCUGCGGUCGCCGGGUUUUGAUCAGAAACAAUUUGAG